UGGGGCAGAGUAGGAGGACUCCAGAAGAUGCUGUCUCUCCUGAUCAUCUGUCUCCUGCCCACCAUCGAAGGGAAGAACUGCCUCCGCUGCUGGCCAGAACUGUCUGCCUUGAUAGACUAUGACCUACAGAUUCUCUGGGGGACCCCGGGGCCACCCACAGAACUUUCUCAAAGCAUUCACUCCCUGUUCCUAGAGGAUCGUGACCAUUUGGAAGAAGAAACAGCCAAAUUCUUCACUCAAGUACACCAAGCCAUUAAAACGUUACGAGAUGAUAAAACGGUACUUCUGGAAGAGAUCUACAUGCACAAGAAUCUAUUUACUGAGAGGCUGAAUAAGAUAUCUGAUGGGCUGAAGGAGAAGGGUAAGGGGUGGGGACGAUCCCUGCACAAGGCCCAGCCCUCCACACCUGCCAAGACCCAAGUCAUGCAGAGUUCACUCUGCAGCCCCCUCGAUCAUCCCCAGGAGCCCCACCCCUGCCCAUGAAUGCCUUCCCCGGCUCCAUCUCCUACUUGCACCCCAGACCCCCUUGGCUCUGUCUGCCUCCCCAGCACCUCAGUUUCUCUACCUUCUCACCCUCCCUGGCAGCCUGCAAUGAGUCCUGUGGUGAGUAUGCAUGGGGACUAGGUCUGGGGGAGGGAUGAAAGGCACCUGGCACCCCCUAGCCCCUGUCCCUCCCCUCCCAUAGACAUACAGCCCACACUGAAGGUCACCAGCUGUGCCGACUGCAGGACUCACUUCCUCUCCUGCAAUGACCCCACUUUCUGCCCAGGUCAGUGGCCACCACCCUGU
Molecule: small RNA, 789 nt
Filed under: Pongo abelii (Sumatran orangutan)
Lineage: Eukaryota; Metazoa; Chordata; Mammalia; Primates; Hominidae
Description: retained intron
Source: RNAcentral